CAUCUUCUCUCUCGGUACCGACAAGAAGAGGACCAACACCACUGCAAGAGAGUUGCGCAGACUACGAGGACCUUUGCCCUGGGUUCCUCUGCCCAAGAAUGCCAUAGCUACGAGGACCUCAGCCUUCAGGUGCGCCGCAUGACCUUUGUUCAUUUCGAAAAACUCCGUUGAAAGAAAUGACGUCGCUGCAUGCACAGUGGCUGUGUCAAAAGAAGAGAUGAUAUCGUCGGGAUGCGUCGCACUGUAGUCGAUUGGAUCUCGU
RNAcentral lists this long non-coding RNA (262 nucleotides) under Olea europaea (common olive). RNAcentral's name for it is "long non-coding RNA (OEUR_LNC000478)". The record is from RNAcentral. Lineage: Eukaryota; Viridiplantae; Streptophyta; Magnoliopsida; Lamiales; Oleaceae.